UGGGGUUGCGGACAUAUCAUAACGAAGAGGUAUCGUAAUUGAAGAGGUUUGGAAAGACCCACCACAGAAGGUAAUAGUCCUGUAUGUUAAACGAGAAGACUUCAGAUAUGAUCCAGAGUACCACGGGACACGUGAAACCCUGUGGGAAGCAGGAGGGACCACCCUCCAAGGCUAAAUACUACCUAGUGACCGAUAGCGUAUAGUACCGUGAGGGAAAGGUGAAAAGAACCCCGGGAGGGGAGUGAAAUAGAACCUGAAACCCUGCACUUACAAGCUGUGGAAGCACAUUUCUUGUGUGACCGCGUACUUUUUGUAGAACGGGCCAACGAGUUACGUUAAGUAGCAAGGUUAAGCACUUAAGGUGCGGAGCCGUAGCGAAAGCGAGUUUUAACUGAGCGUUCAGUUACUUGACGUAGACCCGAAACCGGGCGACCUACCCAUGAGCAGGAUGAAGCGAAAGUAAAAUUUCGUGGAGGUCCGAACCCACGAGCGUUGAAAAGCUCGGGGAUGACUUGUGGGUAGCGGUGAAAUUCCAAUCGAGCCCGGAGAUAGCUGGUUCUCCCCGAAAUAGCUUUAGGGCUAGCCUCAAGGUGAGAGAUACGGAGGUAGAGCACUGAAUGUCCUAGGGGGUAUUGCACCUACCGAAGACUAUCAAACUCCGAAUGCCGUCAUCUUAUACUUGGGAGUCAGACUGUGGGUGAUAAGAUUCAUAGUCGAAAGGGCAACAGCCCAGAUCGUCAGCUAAGGUCCCUAAAUGUAAGUUAAGUGGUAAAGGAUGUGGGAUUGCACAGACAACCAGGAUGUUGGCUUAGAAGCAGCCACUCAUUCAAAGAGUGCGUAAUAGCUCACUGGUCGAGUGAUCCUGCGCCGAAGAUUUCCGGGGCUAAAACUUACUACCGAAGCUACGGCAUCAGUAAUGAUGGGUAGGGGAGCUUCCCAUACGGGUUGAAGCAUGACCGUAAGGACAUGUGGACAGUAUGGGAGUGAGAAUGUUGGCAUGAGUAGCGAGAUGUGGGUGAGAAUCCCACAGGCCGUAAACCCAAGGUUUCCAGGGGAAGGUUCGUCCGCCCUGGGUUAGUCGGGACCUAAGCUGAGGCCGAAAGGCGUAGGUGAUGGACAACAGGUUGAUAUUCCUGUACUACCGAUAACCGUUUGAGAGAAGGGAUGACACAGUAGGAUAAGCUAAGCACACUGUUGGUUAUGUGUGCCCAAGCAUUGAGGCAGUCAAAGCAGGCAAAUCCGCUUUGAUAAUGCUGGGAUGUGAUGGGGAGCGAAAUUUAGUAGCGAAGUAGCUGAUUUCACACUGUCAAGAAAAGUCUCUAUCGAGGUUAAAGGUACCCGUACCGCAAACCGACACAGGUGGGUGAGGAGAGUAUCCUAAGGCCAGCGAGAGAACUGUUGUUAAGGAACUCGGCAAAAUGACCCCGUAACUUAGGGAUAAGGGGUGCCACCAUCCGGUGGCCGCAGAGAAUAGGCCCAAGCGACUGUUUACCAAAAACAUAGGUUUCUGCUAAGUCGCAAGACGAUGUAUAGGAGCUGACGCCUGCCCGGUGCUGGAAGGUUAAGGGGAUCUGUUAGAGCAAUCGAAGCAGUGAACUUAAGCCCCAGUAAACGGCGGCCGUAACUAUAACGGUCCUAAGGUAGCGAAAUUCCUUGUCGGGUAAGUUCCGACCCGCACGAAAGGCGUAACGAUUUGGGCACUGUCUCAACAACAGACUCGGUGAAAUUGUAAUUCCGGUGAAGAUGCCGGAUACCUGCGACAGGACGGAAAGACCCCAUGGAGCUUUACUGUAGCUUGACAUUGGGUCUUGGUACUACAUGUACAGGAUAGGUGGGAGGCUUUGAAACCAGGACGCCAGUUUUGGCGGAGCCAUCCUUGGGAUACCACCCUUGUAGUACUGGGACUCUAACCAUAGGCCAUGAAUCUGGUCUUGGGACACUGUCAGGUGGGCAGUUUGACUGGGGCGGUCGCCUCCCAAAAGGUAACGGAGGCGCUCAAAGGUUCUCUCAGUACGGUCGGAAAUCGUACGUAGAGUGUAAAGGCAAAAGAGAGCUUGAUUGCAAGACAUACAGGUCGAGCAAGGAUGAAAAUCGGACUUAGUGAUCCGGUGGUUCUGCGUGGAAGGGCCAUCGCUCAACGGAUAAAAGCUACCCUGGGGAUAACAGGCUUAUCUCCCCCAAGAGUCCACAUCGACGGGGAGGUUUGGCACCUCGAUGUCGGCUCAUCACAUCCUGGGGCUGUAGUAGGUCCCAAGGGUUGGGCUGUUCGCCCAUUAAAGUGGUACGCGAGCUGGGUUCAGAACGUCGUGAGACAGUUCGGUCCCUAUCCGUCGCAGGCGUAGGAAAUUUGAGAAGACCUGUCCUUAGUACGAGAGGACCGGGAUGGACGUACCUCUGGUGUACCAGUUGUUCUGCCAAGGGCAUGGCUGGGUAGCUAUGUACGGAAUGGAUAAGCGCUGAAAGCAUCUAAGCGCGAAGCCAACUUCAAGAUAAGAUUUCCCACCGCAAGGGUAAGACCCCAGAAAGACUAUCUGGUUGAUAGGUCGAAGGUGUAAGUGCAGCAAUGUAUUUAGCUUAUCGAUACUAAUAGGUCGAGGACUUGACCAAU
This 2608-nucleotide ribosomal RNA is filed under the name Clostridioides difficile. Its description in RNAcentral is "bacterial LSU rRNA". It matches the Rfam family "Bacterial large subunit ribosomal RNA". The record is from RNAcentral. Lineage: Bacteria; Bacillati; Bacillota; Clostridia; Peptostreptococcales; Peptostreptococcaceae.